AUGGAGUACCAGGGACAGCAGCACGGCCAGGCGACCAACCGCGUCGACGAGUACGGUAACCCGGUUGCCGGACAUGGCGCCGGCACCGGCAUGGGCGCGCACGGCGGCGUUGGCACCGGCACCGGCGCGGCCGCUGGUGGGCAUUUCGAGCCCACGAGAGAGGAGCACAAGGCCGGCGGGAUCCUGCAGCGCUCCGGCAGCUCAAGCUCCAGCUCGUCUGAGGAUGAUGGCAUGGGCGGGAGGAGGAAGAAGGGCAUCAAGGAUAAGAUCAAGGAGAAGCUCCCUGGUGGCCACGGUGACCAGCAGCACGCCGAUGGCACCUAUGGACAGCAGGGUACUGGCAUGGCCGGCACCGGGGCGCAUGGCACCACGGCCACAGGCGGUACCUACGGGCAGCCGGGACAAACCGGAAUGACCGGUACUGGGACGCAUGGCACUGACGGCACCGGCGAGAAGAAGGGCAUCAUGGACAAGAUCAAGGAGAAGCUGCCCGGACAGCACUGA
Molecule: ribosomal RNA, 504 nt
Filed under: Triticum aestivum (bread wheat)
Lineage: Eukaryota; Viridiplantae; Streptophyta; Magnoliopsida; Poales; Poaceae
Description: partial small subunit ribosomal RNA
Source: RNAcentral